RNAcentral lists this ribosomal RNA (301 nucleotides) under uncultured bacterium. RNAcentral describes it as "partial 16S ribosomal RNA". It matches the Rfam family "Bacterial small subunit ribosomal RNA", at positions 509 to 807 of the family's 1533-position model. The record is from RNAcentral.
CAGUAGCCGCGGGAAUACGAAGGGGGCUAGCGUUGUUCGGAUUUACUGGGCGUAAAGGGUGCGUAGGCGGAUUGUUAAGUCAGGGGUGAAAUCCCGAGGCUCAACCUCGGAACUGCCUUUGAUACUGGCGAUCUUGAGUCCGGGAGAGGUGAGUGGAACUGCGAGUGUAGAGGUGAAAUUCGUAGAUAUUCGCAAGAGCACCGGUGGCGAAGGCGGCUCACUGGCCCGGAACUGACGCUGAGGCACGAAAGCGUGGGGAGCAAACAGGAUUAGAUACCCCCGUAGUCCCUGUCUCUUAUAC